CCUGGCCAUUUGCCCUGGGAGAGGCAACAGCAUUCAAAAUAUGCUUGAUACCUCUACCAUUAAUAAAGUUUGAAAACUCUUUGCUAGUGAAACUUGUACCACGAUCUGAUAUUAUACGGCGUGGUACUCCAAACAGCGAGAAAUAUUCUGAAAUGGACCGCAAUGGUCAGUGUGGAGCGUAUCAAAUGGUUUGCUAAUUUUAGGUAUAGGAUGGAGCUCCCCUUCUUUAGCACCGGCCGGUAGUUUGUUAUGUGCGCAGCUUAAGCAAGAAUUGCAAUACUUUUUAAUAAAUCGUCGCAUUUUCUUAAACCAAUAAAUUUGAUUAACUCUA
Melitaea cinxia (Glanville fritillary) is the source of this 331-nucleotide long non-coding RNA. RefSeq lists it as uncharacterized. NCBI's taxonomy places the organism in Eukaryota, Metazoa, Arthropoda, Insecta, Lepidoptera, Nymphalidae. The record is from RefSeq and is a predicted model, not a curated record. The transcript is spliced from 2 exons.